AUUGCCUCAGUACGGCGAGUGAAGCGGCAACAGCUCAAUUUGAAAUCUGGCUUCCGGGCCCGAGUUGUAAUUUGCAGAGGGAGUUUCGGAGGCGGCACCGGCCUAAGUUCCUUGGAACGGGGCGUCAUAGAGGGUGAGAAUCCCGUACGUGGCCGGUGAUCAAUUCCAUGUGAAACCCUUUCGACGAGUCAAGUUGUUUGGGAAUGCAGCUCAAAAUGGGUGGUAAAUUUCAUCUAAAGCUAAAUACCGGCCAGAGACCGAUAGCGCACAAGUAGAGUGAUCGAAAGAUGAAAAGCACUUUGGAAAGAGAGUUAAAAAGUACGUGAAAUUGUUGAAAGGGAAGCGCUUGCGACCAGACUUGCCCGCGGGUGAUCAGCCCCCCUUCGGGAGGGUGCACUCGCCCGUGGUCAGGCCAGCAUCGGUUUUGGCGGGCGGAUAAAGGCUCCAGGAAUGUAGCUUCCCUCGGGGAGUGUUAUAGCCUGGGGUGCCAUGCGCCCCGCCGGGACCGAGGACCGCGCUUCGGCUAGGAUGCUGGCGUAAUGGUCGUAAGCGACCCGUCUUGAAACACGGACCAAGGAGUCUAACAUCUGUGCGAGUGUUUGGGUGUCAAACCCAUGCGCGGAAUGAAAGUGAACGGAGGUGGGAACCCCUUCCGGGGSGCGCACCAUCGACCGAUCCUGAUGUCUUCGGAUGGAUUUGAGUAGGAGCAUGGCUGUUGGGACCCGAAAGAUGGUGAACUAUGCCUGGAUAGGGUGAAGCCAGAGGAAACUCUGGUGGAGGCUCGCAGCAGGUUGCUGACGUGCAAAUCGAUCGUCAAAUCUGGGUAUAGGGCGAAAGACUAAUC
This 844-nucleotide ribosomal RNA is filed under the name Aspiciliella intermutans. RNAcentral's name for it is "eukaryotic LSU rRNA". It matches the Rfam family "Eukaryotic large subunit ribosomal RNA", at positions 74 to 936 of the family's 3401-position model. The record is from RNAcentral. Lineage: Eukaryota; Fungi; Ascomycota; Lecanoromycetes; Pertusariales; Megasporaceae.